GCAGCAGCCGCGGUAACACCGGCAGCUCUAGUGGUAACAAUUUUAUUGGGCCUAAAGCGUCCGUAGCCGGUUUAAUAAGUCUCUGGUGAAAUCCUGCAGCUUAACUGUGGGAAUUGCUGGAGAUACUAUUAGACUUGAGACCGGGAGAGGUUAGAGGUACUCCCAGGGUAGAGGUGAAAUUCUGUAAUCCUGGGAGGACCGCCUGUUGCGAAGGCGUCUAACUGGAACGGUUCUGACGGUGAGGGACGAAAGUUAGGGGCGCGAACCGGAUUAGAUACCCGGGUAGUCCUAACUGUAAACGAUGCGGACUUGGUGUUGGGGUGGCUUUGAGCUGCUUCAGUGCCGAAGGGAAGCUGUUAAGUCCGCCGCCUGGGAAGUACGGUCGCAAGACUGAAACUUAAGGAAUUGGCGGGGGAGCACCACAACGCGUGGAGCCUGCCGGUUUAAUUGGAUUCAACGCCGGACAUCUCACCAGAGGCGACAGCUGUAUGAUAGCCAGGUUGAUGACUUUGCUUGACUAGCUGAGAGGAGGUGCAUGG
RNAcentral lists this ribosomal RNA (539 nucleotides) under uncultured archaeon. Its description in RNAcentral is "bacterial SSU rRNA". It matches the Rfam family "Archaeal small subunit ribosomal RNA", at positions 458 to 997 of the family's 1478-position model. The record is from RNAcentral.